ACCACAACGGGUGGAGCCUGCGGUUUAAUUGGACUCAACGCCGGGCAGCUCACCGGAUAAGACAGCUGGAUGAUAGCCGGGCUGAAGACUCUGCUUGACUAGCUGAGAGGAGGUGCAUGGCCGUCGUCAGUUCGUACUGUGAAGCAUCCUGUUAAGUCAGGCAACGAGCGAGACCCACGCCAACAGUUGCCAGCAUGUCCUCCGGGAUGAUGGGGACACUGUUGGGACCGCUCUGCUAAAGAGGAGGAAGGAAUGGGCAACGGUAGGUCAGCAUGCCCCGAAUUAUCCGGGCUACACGCGGGCUACAAUGGUCAGGACAAUGGGUAUCGACACCGAGAGGUGGAGGCAAUCUCCUAAACCUGUCCUUAGUUCGGAUUGUGGGCUGCAACUCGCCCACAUGAAGCUGGAAUCCGUAGUAAUCGCGUUUCAAAAUAGCGCGGUGAAUAUGUCCCUGCUCCUU
This 460-nucleotide ribosomal RNA is filed under the name uncultured Methanolinea sp. RNAcentral describes it as "bacterial SSU rRNA". It matches the Rfam family "Archaeal small subunit ribosomal RNA", at positions 878 to 1338 of the family's 1478-position model. Lineage: Archaea; Methanobacteriati; Methanobacteriota; Methanomicrobia; Methanomicrobiales; Methanoregulaceae. The record is from RNAcentral.